This 496-nucleotide ribosomal RNA is filed under the name uncultured bacterium. RNAcentral describes it as "partial 16S ribosomal RNA". It matches the Rfam family "Bacterial small subunit ribosomal RNA", at positions 28 to 506 of the family's 1533-position model. The record is from RNAcentral.
GAUGAACGCUGGCGGCGUGCCUAAUACAUGCAAGUCGAGCGAACAGACGAGGAGCUUGCUCCUCUGACGUUAGCGGCGGACGGGUGAGUAACACGUGGAUAACCUACCUAUAAGUCUGGGAUAACUUCGGGAAACCGGAGCUAAUACCGGAUAAUAUAUUGAACCGCAUGGUUCAAUAGUGAAAGACGGUUUUGCUGUCACUUAUAGAUGGAUCCGCGCCGCAUUAGCUAGUUGGUAAGGUAACGGCUUACCAAGGCAACGAUGCGUAGCCGACCUGAGAGGGUGAUCGGCCACACUGGAACUGAGACACGGUCCAGACUCCUACGGGAGGCAGCAGUAGGGAAUCUUCCGCAAUGGGCGAAAGCCUGACGGAGCAACGCCGCGUGAGUGAUGAAGGUCUUCGGAUCGUAAAACUCUGUUAUUAGGGAAGAACAAAUGUGUAAGUAACUAUGCACGUCUGGACGGUACCUAAUCAGAAAGCCACGGCUAACUACGU